UACAGAGGGGGCAAGCGUUGUUCGGAAUUACUGGGCGUAAAGGGCGCGUAGGCGGCCUUCUAAGUCGAACGUGAAAUCCCCGAGCUCAACUCGGGAACUGCGUCCGAUACUGGUGGGCUUGAAUCCGGGAGAGGGAUGCGGAAUUCCAGGUGUAGCGGUGAAAUGCGUAGAUAUCUGGAGGAACACCGGUGGCGAAGGCGGCAUCCUGGACCGGCAUUGACGCUGAGGCGCGAAAGCUAGGGGAGCAAACGGG
Molecule: ribosomal RNA, 253 nt
Filed under: uncultured bacterium
Lineage: Bacteria
Description: partial 16S ribosomal RNA
Rfam family: Bacterial small subunit ribosomal RNA
Source: RNAcentral